This 492-nucleotide ribosomal RNA is filed under the name uncultured bacterium. Its description in RNAcentral is "partial 16S ribosomal RNA". It matches the Rfam family "Bacterial small subunit ribosomal RNA", at positions 29 to 507 of the family's 1533-position model. The record is from RNAcentral.
AGUGAACGCUGGCGGUAGGCCUAACACAUGCAAGUCGAACGGCAGCACAGUAAGAGCUUGCUCUUACGGGUGGCGAGUGGCGGACGGGUGAGGAAUACAUCGGAAUCUACUUUUUCGUGGGGGAUAACGUAGGGAAACUUACGAUAAUACCGCAUACGACCUACGGGUGAAAGCAGGGGAUCUUCGGACCUUGCGCGAUUGAAUGAGCCGAUGUCGGAUUAGCUAGUUGGCGGGGUAAAGGCCAACCAAGGCGACGAUCCGUAGCUGGACUGAGAGGAUGAUCAGCCACACUGGAACGGAGACACGGUCCAGACUCCUACGAGAGGCAGCAGUGGCGAAUAUUGGACAAUGGGCGCAAGCCUGAUCCAGCCAUACCGCGUGGGUGAAGAAGGCCUUCGGGUUGUAAAGCCCUUUUGUUGGGAAAGAAAAGCAGCAGGUUAAUACCCCGCUGUUCUGACGGUACCCAAAGAAUAAGCACCGGCUAACUUCGUG